UAGCCUUUAAUCAGCGUAACCUUUCAAGUAAACGCCCGCCUAGCUUAGAGUCCAACCUCCCUGAUUUACUUAGCUUACAGCUAGUUCUCCCUGGUUACUAAGCAACACAACUGGCGGUUAGCGUAACAUACUAGGCUAUUUAUUUUGUUAGCAGCUACAGGUGUGCAUUUGUCCCGUCUUUUUCGACGAUUUUCAGUAAACCACCACCAAAAUACAGUUGCAGAGCAGAUGGCAUUUUAGCUUCUCCAGUGUUCAGUGACAUGGUAAUGAUGCCAAAUGACAGGACACAGAUAAGCUCAAAAGGCAAACAACAGCUGAGAUCUUUUCAAUGACACACCAUGAGGUGAUGUUUAAGAAACAUUAAUGGAAGUCAGGGCUCAAUAGAGCAGAAGAAAUCAGCACUCUAUGACCACACAGUGUCUACUGUCUAUUUAUACUGGCAAUGACCCAGUGCA
Molecule: long non-coding RNA, 455 nt
Organism: Xiphias gladius (swordfish)
Lineage: Eukaryota; Metazoa; Chordata; Actinopteri; Istiophoriformes; Xiphiidae
Exons: 3
Source: RefSeq, a predicted model, not a curated record